AGUAAUACAUAAGUAACAUGCCCUAGACAGGGGGAUAACUAUUGGAAACGAUAGCUAAGACCGCAUAGGUACGGACACUGCAUGGUGACCGUAUUAAAAGUGCCUCAAAGCACUGGUAGAGGAUGGACUUAUGGCGCAUUAGCUGGUUGGCGGGGUAACGGCCCACCAAGGCGACGAUGCGUAGCCGACCUGAGAGGGUGACCGGCCACACUGGGACUGAGACACGGCCCAGACUCCUACGGGAGGCAGCAUG
RNAcentral lists this ribosomal RNA (253 nucleotides) under uncultured bacterium. Its description in RNAcentral is "partial 16S ribosomal RNA". It matches the Rfam family "Bacterial small subunit ribosomal RNA", at positions 109 to 353 of the family's 1533-position model. The record is from RNAcentral.